This is a long non-coding RNA of Astatotilapia calliptera (eastern happy), 1032 nucleotides long. NCBI's taxonomy places the organism in Eukaryota, Metazoa, Chordata, Actinopteri, Cichliformes, Cichlidae. The record is from Ensembl.
AUUUAACACAUUAGAUAACAUGCCACCAGUGGAGUUUUCUGUAACUUUUUUACCAAUCAGAUGUGGCCAUGCAGUCACAUGUCCAGUUUGAAACUGUGGCGGGCAGAGCGGCCCAAGCGUUUCAAAGUAGCGACACACGUAAAGAAGAAACAUGAAAACAUGGCAGAGUCUACGCUAGAGCUGAAGAGGAUGAACAGCCUUGGCCUCACAUACAAAGAAUGUUUUGCUUAAAAGCAGCACAAAAGAACAGCUCUGUCUUCAGUGAGAGCCAAAACAACAACUUUUCAGCGUGAAACAACUCAGCUCGUGUAACCUGAGUCUCCACUUCAUCAGACACCACCUAGACUCAGAGCUGGAUGAGACCAGCACAAACAGCAGCCUAACCGACUAAGAUGAUGGAUCCAUGGGGUCAGGAAAGCCAGAAGCAGGGCUGGAGAGGUACCUUUCAUGUCCAUUCACUGGAGGUGUGGAUCUAUUGCAUGGCGUUCCUCACAUCAAGAAGCUGUCGAUCAAAAUCAAUACAGCUCUUCCUGCAUCAGGAGCUUGUGAAGGAAUCUUAGUCAUGCAGGACUCCUGUUCACUGCUGAACAGUUGAGAGCAAACUGCUGCUGAAGCUGAACCAUCACCUCACUGAGUGAAGAAAUGGCACAUUUUUGCUAAAUAUGCAGAAACAGAUGCAUACCCAUACAACUGAUGGUAAACUGAGCUGCCUUGUAUGAACAUAUGUUGAAGAUGCCUCGUUCUGUUUUCUCUGAGGCUGCUGUGCCAUUUGGAGCAAAGAUGAAUAUAAAGUUUACAGCAUAUCUUUUCACUGGAAAUAGUUUGCACUGUUUAUAUGUUUAUAUUAUUUACUGCAGGUGUUGGUGAAAAAAGCUUUAUGUUGUGAAAAACUGAAAUCUGAAAAUUAGAAUUGUUGUGCCUUAUUUUGAUGUUUUUACAUAUAUUCCUGUUGAAAAUAGUAAAAUUUGUAUAUUUAUUUAUUUUUGUUUGUCUGAUAGCAUUUAUUUAUAAAAUAAAUCGGACAUUUCAAAC